Molecule: long non-coding RNA, 2842 nt
Filed under: Anser brachyrhynchus (Pink-footed goose)
Lineage: Eukaryota; Metazoa; Chordata; Aves; Anseriformes; Anatidae
Description: lncRNA (ENSABRG00000007632.1)
Source: RNAcentral
AUUCGUCCUCUGGUAACUGUAAAACCAAGAGAAAAACAGGAGUGUGCAUGCUUAUACUUUCCAGAACACGCUGAUCCAACACGCAGAGCCAAAGCUGGGUGCACACAUCCCCUCCCCACUUGGUGUCUGCCACCAAAGUUUUCAGUAAAAGUCUUUUUUUGGGGACACCGAUGGCUUGGAGCGCUGUGAGAUUGUCCAGCCCUGGCCUCGCCACCCCAGCCAAGCACCGCUCCUUUAACUCCUCUCCACCCAGCACUCUGGUUCGGGUUGUUAUCUCAGGGUGAGUAAUUAAUUCUCCUGAACAUCAGCAGCUGGUCCUGGGUGGGAGCCGUGCUGGGGAGAGCUGCGGCAGAGCAGAGGGCUGGGUUAUAAGAUGCGAGAACACCUGUCCUUGCCUCUCCUUUUCUCCCUAAAAUCUAUAAAGUGGGAGAGGGGAGGGCAGUGCCUGGGGUCCUUGCCCAGGGAAGGUGCUGUGGGUGAGACUGCUUCUCCCCUUUUAUAAGCUCCUGGCCUCGUCUCAGCUGCAUUGGACUGCACGAUGAAUGAUCUGUCCAAGGCUUCCUGGCGGCUGGGGGCAAAUCCAGGCGAGACGACUCUGGGCUCCAGGAGGGCUGCCUUGGUGAAGCAGGCUCUGCCCGGCGCAGCGAGCGAGGAGAGGGGUGCAGACCCAGCAUGUGCACGCAUCCAGCCCCACAUGUGUUUGGCUCGAGCUCUCCAGGUGUUCUCAGACUUCUCUGCCACAUGUUUUUUGGAGCCUCCCUUCUGGUACCCGUGGCCUCCUGGCAAUCUCACAGGAGAUUGUCCUUCAGGUGCUGAAUGGCUGGGAUAUGCCCCCUGGGGAAGACAGCACACGAGGUGUGGGAGCUGGCUCCGUGGUCCGGAUCCCAACCUGAAUGAUGCUGGAGAAGAGACCUCAGAACCACUGUCAGCACCUGCACCACAGCUGGGCAGUGGUGCUGAGCCCCCAGCGCUGCUCCUCCUGUGUUCUCGCCUUUGCCAAGGACCUGAUGACUUCGUCGUUGCUGCCAUCCCAAGGACAGGCUGCCAGAAGAUGCUGCAGGCACCGGAGGAUGCAUCCCAGAAGCAUGGGGGUGGCCUGUUGCUGAGGCUGCAGCAAAGCUUCCUGACCCCUGAUUUCCCCAGGCCACUGCCAACAGAGGGAUCUCUGUGAGAAGCACAGGUGAGCGUGGGAUGGAGAGGCUGAGCUGGACCACAGGGACUCUUGACCACCCUGCUGUCUGGGUGGGGGUAUCCUGCCUCCUCUCACGAGCUCUUAUGCCGCUGAGCGCUGUCUGCAUGCUCAGCGCUGUGCAGCACACCGCAGUGACGGCUGCCGCCGCUGCAAAGAUCCUGCAGGACAAAGGGAACAACAAAAGGUUCCUGCACCAGCGCUUUCCCCUCUUUUCUCUUUCCUUCCCUUUUGCCGCAACUUGGAAAGAGCGAAGUCGAGGGACUGCCAAAGCAGAGGAAAACAAGGCCAAGCGCACACAGAUGGUGAGCCCACAAAUUUAAUUUAAAAUCAUCCUUUAUUAUUCAAAAUAUUAAAAUUCAGGCAAUAAUGCCCAAAGGAACUGCACUGAUUAAAGUUCCCUAAUGUUUCAUGGCCAAAUCUUGCUGCUUCUUCCAAGGGUCACUGGGACAAGAAGUGAAACCCCUCUGGAGUGCAGAGAGAGGCAGGGCUGUACCUGCUGUAGAUCGUUUACCCAAACAGUUACUUACUGACCCAAUCAGCUUCACUUAAAGCAAAGCACCAGCUGUUCCUUACCCAAUUAAUGAUUGCCACAGCAAAUUAACAUGGCGUUACACCAGGCGUGGAUGUGGUCCGCAGAGUCCGGAAUGCACAGAGCAAUAUGCUAUUGCAAAAAUAAUCACAGUAAUAUCUUUACUGUUAGGUAGCAUCCUUCAUCUGGAAGGAUCGCAAGCUCCCUGUGCGCUAUAUGGCUCACUUCGUGCAACGUGCUCUGCAGUGAGGGUGCGGACAGCAGGAAGGAGGGUAGGUGGGGUACGUGGUUGCUGUUUCAAGGCAGAAUAAGAGGAACAGCCAGGGCAGCUCUACUGUGGUAGAGGCAGCAUUGACCACACACGUCCAGGUCUUGGUUCCUGCAAUCCAAACAAAUUGUUAUUUCAUUGGUUGUAAAUCUGCUGGACUCAAAAUGUACCUUGAUCACGCACCACGGACCUCUUUGAUGCCUCUCCCCCGUUGUGUGAUGUGACAGUUUGAUAGCACAGUGCUGUUGCAGGGAUUUUUGGGCCCUGGUCAGGGUCACAGUUCAGUGUCAGAGCCAUUCUGCUCUGGGAUGUGGCAGAUGUGGCAAGCACAGAGCCAGAUGGCCAGCUGCAGUGAGCACCCCUGGGAGGGAAGAGGCCACAAUGCUGGGCUGCAGAUGUGGGAAAGCCAAGCAUUGCCUCCCUGCUGAGCAUCCCCAGGUCAAGUGCUGCCUCUACAAUUCCUUCCUUGGUCCCUCUGUGCUGUAGGGCGCACACACAGGCUGCCCCUCGCCCUGUCCCUCUGUGGUGGUUCUGCAUCGUGGGAGCCCAACAGCAGCAGAGCAGAAUAACUGAGCCAGUCUCUUCUUCCAUCAAAGUCCAGUUUACACAAAGGUUAAGUCUAGUUCCUAAAUACUCAUCACAGCUUUGGCUCUGCUAUGAGCCUGUGCCUUUUAUGACCCAGACACAUUAACCCCCUUUAAGUUACAGUCCAGAUAGAUCAAUCAGCCUAGAGGGCUUUGGGACAAAGGUAUCUGGCGUUGAAGCAUUAAACUUUCCAAUUUUCCCACAAUUAAGCCACCGUCAAAUAUUAUUGACAAAUAAAGCAUGCCAUCAAAGCCCCGAGCUGCCGCCU